CAGUAGCCACGGUAAUACGGAGGGCGCGAGCGUUACCCGGAUUUACUGGGCGUAAAGGGCGUGUAGGCGGCCUGGGGCGUCCCAUGUGAAAGGCCACGGCUCAACCGUGGAGGAGCGUGGGAUACGCUCAGGCUAGAGGGUGGGAGAGGGUGGUGGAAUUCCCGGAGUAGCGGUGAAAUGCGCAGAUACCGGGAGGAACGCCGAUGGCGAAGGCAGCCACCUGGUCCACUUCUGACGCUGAGGCGCGAAAGCGUGGGGAGCAAACAGGAUUAGAUACCCCCGUAGUCCCUGUCUCUUAUAC
RNAcentral lists this ribosomal RNA (301 nucleotides) under uncultured bacterium. RNAcentral describes it as "partial 16S ribosomal RNA". It matches the Rfam family "Bacterial small subunit ribosomal RNA", at positions 509 to 807 of the family's 1533-position model. The record is from RNAcentral.